RNAcentral lists this ribosomal RNA (470 nucleotides) under uncultured Desulfuromonas sp. RNAcentral's name for it is "bacterial SSU rRNA". It matches the Rfam family "Bacterial small subunit ribosomal RNA", at positions 912 to 1382 of the family's 1533-position model. The record is from RNAcentral. Lineage: Bacteria; Pseudomonadati; Thermodesulfobacteriota; Desulfuromonadia; Desulfuromonadales; Desulfuromonadaceae.
GACGGGGCCCGCACAAGCGGUGGAGCAUGUGGUUUAAUUCGACGCAACGCGAAGAACCUUACCUGGGCUUGACAUCCCGAUCGCACCUUAUGGAAACAUAGGGGUCAGUUCGGCUGGAUCGGUGACAGGUGCUGCAUGGCUGUCGUCAGUUCGUGUCGUGAGAUGUUGGGUUAAGUCCCGCAACGAGCGCAACCCUUGUCCUUAGUUGCCAGCAUUCAGUUGGGCACUCUAAGGAGACUGCCGGUGUCAAACCGGAGGAAGGUGGGGAUGACGUCAAGUCCUCAUGGCCCUUAUGUCCAGGGCUACACACGUGCUACAAUGGCCGGUACAAAGGGGCGCAAGACCGCGAGGUGGAGCAAAUCCCAAAAAACCGGUCUCAGUUCGGAUUGGAGUCUGCAACUCGACUCCAUGAAGUUGGAAUCGCUAGUAAUCGCGUAUCAGCAUGACGCGGUGAAUACGUUCCCGGCCUU